Molecule: ribosomal RNA, 443 nt
Filed under: uncultured bacterium
Lineage: Bacteria
Description: partial 16S ribosomal RNA
Rfam family: Bacterial small subunit ribosomal RNA
Source: RNAcentral
CCUACGGGUGGCAGCAGUGGGGAAUAUUGGGCAAUGGGCGCAAGCCUGAACCAGCAACGCCGCGUGAAGGAAGACGGCUUUCGGGUUGUAAACUUCUUUUGUCAGGGACGAAGCAAGUGACGGUACCUGACGAAUAAGCCACGGCUAACUACGUGCCAGCAGCCGCGGCAAUACGUCGGUGGCAAGCGUUAUCCGGAUUUACUGGGUGUAAAGGGCGGGUAGGCGGGGAAGUAAGUCAGAGGUGAAAACCACGGGCUCAACCUGUGGCCUGCAUUUGAAACUGUUGUUCUUGAGUGCUGGAGAGGUAAUCGGAAUGCGGGGUGUAGCGGUGAAAUGCGUAGAUAUUAGGAAGAACACCAGUGGCGAAGGCGGCCUACUGGACGGUGACUGACGCUGAGGCUCGAAAGCGUGGGGAGCAAACAGGAUUAGAUACCCGGGUAGUC